GACGAACGCUGGCGGCGUGCUUAACACAUGCAAGUCGAACGGAAAGGCCCUGCUUUUGUGGGGGGCUCGAGUGGCGAACGGGUGAGUAACACGUGAGUAACCUGCCCUUGACUUUGGGAUAACUUCAGGAAACUGGGGCUAAUACCGGAUAGGAGCUCCUGCUGCAUGGUGGGGGUUGGAAAGUUUCGGCGGUUGGGGAUGGACUCGCGGCUUAUCAGCUUGUUGGUGGGGUAGUGGCUUACCAAGGCUUUGACGGGUAGCCGGCCUGAGAGGGUGACCGGCCACAUUGGGACUGAGAUACGGCCCAGACUCAUACGGGAGGCAGAAGUGGGGAAUAUUGCACAAUGGGCGGAAGCCUGAUGCAGCAACGCCGCGUGCGGGAUGACGGCCUUCGGGUUGUAAACCGCUUUCGCCUGUGACGAAGCGCGAGUGACGGUAAUGGGUAAAGAAGCACCGGCUAACUACGUG
Molecule: ribosomal RNA, 468 nt
Filed under: uncultured bacterium
Lineage: Bacteria
Description: partial 16S ribosomal RNA
Rfam family: Bacterial small subunit ribosomal RNA
Source: RNAcentral